GCAAGUCUAACGAAGUAGCAAUACUUAGUGGCAGACGGGUGAGUAACAUGUAGGUAUCUACCCUUUGGCCUGGAAUAACACGAGGAAACUUGUGCUAAUACCGGAUAAGUCUUUACGGAGAAAGCUUUAUGCACCAUUGGAUGAGCCUGCACUUGAUUAGUUUGUUGGUAGGGUAAUGGCCUACCAAGACUGUGAUCGAUAGCUGAUUUGAGAGGAUGAUCAGCCACAUUGGGACUGAGACACGGCCCAAACUCCUACGGGAGGCAGCAGUGGGGAAUCUUGCACAAUGGAGGAAACUCUGAUGCAGCGAUGCCGCGUGAGUGAAGAAGGCCCUUGGGUUGUAAAGCUCUUUCGUCGGGGAAGAAAAUGACUGUACCCGAAUAAGAAGGUCCGGCUAACUUCGUGCCAGCAGCCGCGGUAAUACGAAGGGACCUAGCGUAGUUCGGAAUUACUGGGCUUAAAGAGUUCGUAGGUGGUUGAAAAAGUUGGUGGUGAAAUCCCAGAGCUUAACUCUGGAACUGCCAUCAAAACUUUUCAGCUAGAGUUUGAUAGAGGAAAGCAGAAUUUCUAGUGUAGAGGUGAAAUUCGUAGAUAUUAGAAAGAAUACCAAUUGCGAAGGCAGCUUUCUGGAUCAUUACUGACACUGAGGAACGAAAGCAUGGGUAGCGAAGAGGAUUAGAUACCCUCGUAGUCCAUGCCGUAAACGAUGUGUGUUAGACGUUGGAAAUUUAUUUUCAGUGUCGCAGCGAAAGCGAUAAACACACCGCCUGGGGAGUACGACCGCAAGGUUAAAACUCAAAUGAAUU
This 806-nucleotide ribosomal RNA is filed under the name uncultured marine bacterium. RNAcentral describes it as "bacterial SSU rRNA". It matches the Rfam family "Bacterial small subunit ribosomal RNA", at positions 57 to 911 of the family's 1533-position model. The record is from RNAcentral.